AUUGAACGCUGGCGGCAGGCCUAACACAUGCCAGUCGAGCGGAUGAAGGGAGCUUGCUCCUGGAUUCAGCGGCGGACGGGUGAGUAAUGCCUAGGAAUCUGCCUGGUAGUGGGGGAUAACGUCCGGAAACGGGCGCUAAUACCGCAUACGUCCUGAGGGAGAAAGUGGGGGAUCUUCGGACCUCACGCUAUCAGAUGAGCCUAGGUCGGAUUAGCUAGUUGGUGGGGUAAAGGCCUACCAAGGCGACGAUCCGUAACUGGUCUGAGAGGAUGAUCAGUCACACUGGAACUGAGACACGGUCCAGACUCCUACGGGAGGCAGCAGUGGGGAAUAUUGGACAAUGGGCGAAAGCCUGAUCCAGCCAUGCCGUGUGUGUGAAGAAGGUCUUCGGAUUGUAAAGCACUUUAAGUUGGGAGGAAGGGCAGUAAGUUAAUACCUUGCUGUUUUGACGUUACCAACAGAAUAAGCACCGGCUAACUUCGUG
Molecule: ribosomal RNA, 484 nt
Filed under: uncultured bacterium
Lineage: Bacteria
Description: partial 16S ribosomal RNA
Rfam family: Bacterial small subunit ribosomal RNA
Source: RNAcentral